RNAcentral lists this non-coding RNA (30 nucleotides) under Mus musculus (house mouse). The record is from RNAcentral. Lineage: Eukaryota; Metazoa; Chordata; Mammalia; Rodentia; Muridae.
UGGGUGUAUUCUCCCUCUUUUGUGUACAGU